UCCAGCAGCCGCGGUAAUACGUAGGUGGCAAGCGUUGUCCGGAUUUAUUGGGCGUAAAGCGAGCGCAGGCGGUUUUUUAAGUCUGAUGUGAAAGCCUUCGGCUCAACCGAAGAAGUGCAUCGGAAACUGGGAAACUUGAGUGCAGAAGAGGACAGUGGAACUCCAUGUGUAGCGGUGAAAUGCGUAGAUAUAUGGAAGAACACCAGUGGCGAAGGCGGCUGUCUGGUCUGUAACUGACGCUGAGGCUCGAAAGUAUGGGUAGCAAACAGGAUUAGAUACCCUGGUAGUCCAUACCGUAAACGAUGAAUGCUAAGUGUUGGAGGGUUUCCGCCCUUCAGUGCUGCAGCUAACGCAUUAAGCAUUCCGCCUGGGGAGUACGGCCGCAAGGCUGAAACUCAAAGGAAUUGACGGGGGCCCGCACAAGCGGUGGAGCAUGUGGUUUAAUUCGAAGCUACGCGAAGAACCUUACCAGGUCUUGACAUACUAUGCAAAUCUAAGAGAUUAGACGUUCCCUUCGGGGACAUGGAUACAGGUGGUGCAUGGUUGUCGUCAGCUCGUGUCGUGAGAUGUUGGGUUAAGUCCCGCAACGAGCGCAACCCUUAUUAUCAGUUGCCAGCAUUAAGUUGGGCACUCUGGUGAGACUGCCGGUGACAAACCGGAGGAAGGUGGGGAUGACGUCAAAUCAUCAUGCCCCUUAUGACCUGGGCUACACACGUGCUACAAUGGAUGGUACAACGAGUUGCGAACUCGCGAGAGUAAGCUAAUCUCUUAAAGCCAUUCUCAGUUCGGAUUGUAGGCUGCAACUCGCCUACAUGAAGUCGGAAUCGCUAGUAAUCGCGGAUCAGCAUGCCGCGGUGAAUACGUUCCCGGGCCUUGUACACACCGCCCGUCACACCAUGAGAGUUUGUAACACCCAAAGUCGGUGGGGUAACCUUUUAGGAACCAGCCGCCUAAGGUGGGACAGAUGAUUAGGGUGAAGUCGUA
RNAcentral lists this ribosomal RNA (984 nucleotides) under Lactiplantibacillus plantarum. Its description in RNAcentral is "bacterial SSU rRNA". It matches the Rfam family "Bacterial small subunit ribosomal RNA", at positions 507 to 1490 of the family's 1533-position model. Lineage: Bacteria; Bacillati; Bacillota; Bacilli; Lactobacillales; Lactobacillaceae. The record is from RNAcentral.